Molecule: non-coding RNA, 1222 nt
Organism: Cicer arietinum (chickpea)
Lineage: Eukaryota; Viridiplantae; Streptophyta; Magnoliopsida; Fabales; Fabaceae
Source: RefSeq, a predicted model, not a curated record
UAAAUCUAACUCUUUUCUACCACACUUCCACGUAUCAAAUUAACUCCUUUAAAAUCUCAGAUACAUAUCUCUUGUUUCUCCAACAUCCAUUAAACAUAAAAUGAAUAAGUUAGAAACAAAACCAUAAACACAAACACACUCCUUCAUUUUCUCCUUUCAUGUGUUUUUCUACUCCACCACUAUUAAAGAGAAAAAGAGUUUGAAGUCAUUUUCUUUCUAAAUAUUCUACAUUUUUUUUAUUGUUUGAAGACUUUAGAAGAAGAAAUAUUGCUAUAAUAUGUAUGGUGUUUUGAGACAUUCCAUAAAAAGAUGAUUCUUCGCAAGAAAUAUCUAUCAAUAUAAUAAAAAGCGGAUGUCGAAUUUAUUUUUACAAGAUAUUUACAAUAAUCUUAUUAAAACGGUUAAAUAUAAAUACUAUAAAGUAUUCGUUCUCUAUCAAGAGUGAAGAAUGUUCAAGAGCUACGAUAAUGAAACAUCCCAUUGACAGGUAAAAUUGCCAUGUAAGUGGAAAAAAAAUUCAAUAUUUCAAAGUCAAUCGCUUUUGACAUGGUGAAAAAAAAAAUGAAGUGUACUAAAAUUUUGAGUGGAAAAAGAGGCAGUGACGCAUUGGUGGGACAGGAGUAAAUCAUUCAUUCUCAACAUUGGUAUUAUUCAGGUUAUCUUUGAUUACGUUUUUCUAAUAUUAUAUGUUACGGUUUCACUGUAAUUCUAAGAUGUUAUAUGUUCUAGUCCCACAAGAUUUUUUUUUGAUGACGUUGACCGAUGAACGAAAAAAAUGGAGUUAUAUUGUGGUGGGAUACAAGAAAUAAAAGAUAAUAAAUUGAAGAAGUGCUUGAUGAAUCGUUGUUAAUGAAGUGAGGUUAUGACAAAAUGGAAACACAGUAGGGAAGCUCAUUAAUCAACCGCGCUUGCAUCGUCAGCUACAAAACGGUGAACUAUGUUAAAUAUAAGAAAUUAAAGAACUACUUGUUGACGAGGAACUCUUGUAGGCUGAAUUCGUAUGGAUGUCAAAAUUGACAGCACCAUGUCAGAAUGUGGUUGGAUCCUCUAUAUUAAUCAUAUUAAAUAUAAAUUGUUAUUGUUCUAUUAUUACUAUGUUGUAUCUACAUUAGAAAAUUUAACUUGUCUCUUUUAAGCUAUGAAUCUAUUCUGGAAUUGAAACUUUGUAGCUAAUGCUAUAGCAGUUUUUAAGUUAUGAAUCUAUUCUGCUCUGCGCAUGAAA